This 328-nucleotide unclassified non-coding RNA is filed under the name soil metagenome. Its description in RNAcentral is "partial contains 5.8S ribosomal RNA, internal transcribed spacer 2, and large subunit ribosomal RNA". The stretch from base 1 to 120 matches the Rfam family "5.8S ribosomal RNA", at positions 35 to 154 of the family's 154-position model. The record is from RNAcentral.
GAUGAAGAACGUAGCGAAAUGCGAUAAGUAAUGUGAAUUGCAGAAUUCAGUGAAUCAUCGAAUCUUUGAACGCACAUUGCGCCCCUUGGUAUUCCGAGGGGCAUGCCUGUUCGAGCGUCAUUAUAACCCCUCAAGCUCAGCUUGGUGUUGGGGCCUGCCGCACGGGCAGCCCUUAAAAUCAGUGGCGGUGCCAUCUGGCUCUAAGCGUAGUAAUUCUUCUCGCUAUAGAGUCCCGGUGGAUGCUUGCCAUUAACCCCCAAUUUUCUAUGGUUGACCUCGGAUCAGGUAGGGAUACCCGCUCAACUUAAGCAUAUCAAUAAGCGGAGGA